AGCAGCCGCGGUAAUUCCAGCUCCAAUAGCGUAUAUUAAAGUUGUUGCAGUUAAAAAGCUCGUAGUUGAAUUUCGGGAUUAGUAGGUUGGUCAUGCCUCUGGUAUGUACUGGUCUCACUGAUUCCUCCUUCCUGAUGAACCUUAAUGCCAUUAAUUUGGUGUUUUGGGGAAUUUGGACUGUUACUUUGAAAAAAUUAGAGUGUUUAAAGCAAGCUAACGCUUGAAUACAUUAGCAUGGAAUAAUGAAAUAGGACGUUCGAUCCUAUUUUGUUGGUUUCUAGGAUUGACGUAAUGAUUAAUAGGGAUAGUUGGGGGCAUUAGUAUUCAAUUGUCAGAGGUGAAAUUCUUGGAUUUAUUGAAGACUAACUACUGCGAAAGCAUUUGCCAAGGAUGUUUUCAUUAAUCAAGAACGAAAGUUAGGGGAUCGAAGACGAUCAGAUACCGUCGUAGUCUUAACCAUAAACUAUGCCGACUAGGGAUCGGAUGAUGUUAAUUUUUUAAUGACUCAUUCGGCGCCUUACG
RNAcentral lists this ribosomal RNA (522 nucleotides) under uncultured Glomeraceae. RNAcentral's name for it is "SSU rRNA". It matches the Rfam family "Eukaryotic small subunit ribosomal RNA", at positions 569 to 1092 of the family's 1831-position model. The record is from RNAcentral. Lineage: Eukaryota; Fungi; Glomeromycota; Glomeromycetes; Glomerales; Glomeraceae.